GACGAACGCUGGCGGCGUGCCUAAUACAUGCAAGUCGAACGGUCUUUUCUAUGGAAGCUUGCUUCCACUGAGAAGAUAGUGGCGAACGGGUGAGUAACACGUGGGUAACCUGCCCAUAAGAGGGGGAUAACAUCCGGAAACGGGUGCUAAUACCGCAUAGUUUUCUUGAUCGCAUGAUUGAGAAAGGAAAGACGGCCUUUGUGCUGUCGCUUAUGGAUGGACCCGCGGCGUAUUAGUUAGUUGGUGAGGUAACGGCUCACCAAGACGAUGAUACGUAGCCGACCUGAGAGGGUGAUCGGCCACAUUGGGACUGAGACACGGCCCAAACUCCUACGGGAGGCAGCAGUAGGGAAUCUUCCGCAAUGGACGAAAGUCUGACGGAGCAACGCCGCGUGAGUGAAGAAGGUUUUCGGAUCGUAAAACUCUGUUGUCAGAGAAGAACAAGUUGGAGAGUAACUGCUCCAGCCUUGACGGUAUCUGACCAGAAAGCCACGGCUAACUACG
This 504-nucleotide ribosomal RNA is filed under the name uncultured bacterium. RNAcentral's name for it is "bacterial SSU rRNA". It matches the Rfam family "Bacterial small subunit ribosomal RNA", at positions 28 to 505 of the family's 1533-position model. The record is from RNAcentral.